Molecule: ribosomal RNA, 279 nt
Filed under: uncultured bacterium
Lineage: Bacteria
Description: partial 16S ribosomal RNA
Rfam family: Bacterial small subunit ribosomal RNA
Source: RNAcentral
UGCCAGCCGCCGCGGUAAUACGAAGGGUGCUAGCGUUGUUCGGAAUUACUGAGCGUAAAGAGCAUGUAGGCGGAUGAAUUAGUCAGAGGUGAAAGGCCCCGAGCUCAACUUGGGAACUGCCUUGAUACUGUUUAUCUAGAGUCCGAGAGAGGUUAGUGGAAUUCCCAGUGUAGAGGUGAAAUUCGUAGAUAUUGGGAAGAACACCAGUGGCGAAGGCGGCUCUCUGGUCCAUACCUGACGCUGAGGCGCGAAAGCGUGGGGAGCGAACAGGAUUAGAUA